GUGUGUAUUCCUGUCUCUCUCUCCCAGAAUAACUGUACGUUUGCCCAGCGACCUGCGAGGAAGCGGUGAUAUGUUCAAAAACAGAACUACACACAUGUUGUACUACACACCUGUUGUACUACAAACCUUUUAGGCCGUAGACAAAACUUCCCAAACAUCUCCUGCUCUGGGACAUAUCUUCCUUCACUCUCAGCUGGCUGUCCUGAAUAUCAAUACUACUCAACAUCUACCUUACUCUCCGGACUCGUCAAGCCAGUCUAUUUAUCCACUGGCCGGACUGUGUGAAGACCCUGGCUCUGUGAAGACCCUGGCUCUGUGAAGACAGUGGCUCUGUGAAGAUCCUGACUAAGCAGUUGAGCCCCAGGACCAGCUUGCUUAUGGGACUCUUCUCCAGUCCAGGAGAAGAUCAUUUGCGGCAUCCUGACCGUUUGCAUCGCCGCCUGCUAUGGCAAAUGCUUGGCAUCUGACCGUAAGGCGCUUCAGAG
RNAcentral lists this long non-coding RNA (485 nucleotides) under Salmo salar (Atlantic salmon). Its description in RNAcentral is "lncRNA (ENSSSAG00000108672.1)". Lineage: Eukaryota; Metazoa; Chordata; Actinopteri; Salmoniformes; Salmonidae. The record is from RNAcentral.